UUUGAUGACAAUAGCGUAUAGGAACCACCUGAUCCAUUUCGAACUCAGCAGUGAAACUAUACAGCGCCGAUGGUAGUGUGGGGUCUCCCCAUGUGAGAGUAGGACAUCAUCAGCU
This 115-nucleotide ribosomal RNA is filed under the name Gammaproteobacteria bacterium. Lineage: Bacteria; Pseudomonadati; Pseudomonadota; Gammaproteobacteria. The record is from RNAcentral.